UUAUUACUAGAUUUACACAUGCAAGUCUCCGCACCCCUGUGAAUACGCCCUAAAAUCCCACCCGGACUAAGGAGCCGGUAUCAGGCACAACAAUUUGCCCAAGACACCUAGCCUCGCCACUCCCACAAGGGCAUGCAGCAGUGAUUAAAAUUGAAUAUUGACAUCAGUCAGACUCAGUUAAUGUAAACAGAACCGGCAAAUGUGGUGCCAGCCGCCGCGGAUACACCACCAGGCUCAAAUUGAUUUUCACCGGCGUAAAGCGUGAUUAAAGAACUUAUUAAACUAGGGCUUAACUUAAACUAGUAUGUUAUAAUUUAGCUUUAAGGAGAACCAAACACGAAAGUUACCCUAUUUAACCCCACUUGAACCCACGACAUCUAGGACACAAACUGGGAUUAGAUACCCCACUAUGCCUAAGUGUAAACCUUUACUUACAUCACCAUCGCCCGGAUACUACAAGCCACGCUUAAAAACCAAGGGACUUGACGGUAUCUCAUACCCCACUAGAGGAGCCUGUCGCACAAUCGAUAACCCCCGCUAAACCUCACCACUCUUAGCUUAUUCAGCCUGUAUACUUCCGUCGCAGCCUAUCAUAUGAAUGAAUCUUAAUAGGCCAAAUGAUUUACAUCAGUACGUCAGGUCAAAGUGCAGCCAACAGAGCGGAAGCAGAUGGGCUACAUUUUCUAAAUUAGACCAUACGAAAGAUUAAAUGAAACAUAAUCAGAAGGUGGAUUUAGUAGUAAGGGCAAAACAGAGAGCUCCCCUUAAUACAGGCACUGGGAUGUGUACAAACCGCCCGUCACCCUCUUCAAAUCUAAACAAUAGUACUUAACACCAUUAAAACAACAGAAGAGGUAAGUCGUAACAUGGUAAGUGUACCGGAAGGUGCUCUUGG
Molecule: non-coding RNA, 895 nt
Filed under: Haddadus binotatus (clay robber frog)
Lineage: Eukaryota; Metazoa; Chordata; Amphibia; Anura; Craugastoridae
Description: partial 12S ribosomal RNA
Rfam family: Microsporidia small subunit ribosomal RNA
Source: RNAcentral